This 554-nucleotide ribosomal RNA is filed under the name uncultured Leuconostoc sp. Its description in RNAcentral is "bacterial SSU rRNA". It matches the Rfam family "Bacterial small subunit ribosomal RNA", at positions 360 to 905 of the family's 1533-position model. The record is from RNAcentral. Lineage: Bacteria; Bacillati; Bacillota; Bacilli; Lactobacillales; Lactobacillaceae.
AAUCUUCCACAAUGGGCGAAAGCCUGAUGGAGCAACGCCGCGUGUGUGAUGAAGGCUUUCGGGUCGUAAAGCACUGUUGUAUGGGAAGAACAGCUAGAAUAGGAAAUGAUUUUAGUUUGACGGUACCAUACCAGAAAGGGACGGCUAAAUACGUGCCAGCAGCCGCGGUAAUACGUAUGUCCCGAGCGUUAUCCGGAUUUAUUGGGCGUAAAGCGAGCGCAGACGGUUUAUUAAGUCUGAUGUGAAAGCCCGGAGCUCAACUCCGGAAUGGCAUUGGAAACUGGUUAACUUGAGUGCAGUAGAGGUAAGUGGAACUCCAUGUGUAGCGGUGGAAUGCGUAGAUAUAUGGAAGAACACCAGUGGCGAAGGCGGCUUACUGGACUGCAACUGACGUUGAGGCUCGAAAGUGUGGGUAGCAAACAGGAUUAGAUACCCUGGUAGUCCACACCGUAAACGAUGAACACUAGGUGUUAGGAGGUUUCCGCCUCUUAGUGCCGAAGCUAACGCAUUAAGUGUUCCGCCUGGGGAGUACGACCGCAAGGUUGAAACUCAAA